RNAcentral lists this transfer RNA (68 nucleotides) under Fistularia tabacaria (cornetfish). RNAcentral describes it as "tRNA-Ser". Lineage: Eukaryota; Metazoa; Chordata; Actinopteri; Syngnathiformes; Fistulariidae. The record is from RNAcentral.
GAGAGAGGUCCGAUGACACCAGAGAUUGCUAAUCUUUGUCCCCUUGGUUUGACCCCAGGGCUCCCUCG